CACAAUGGUGGAAACUGUGUAGUAUACGGCUCCAGUUGGUACUGCUCCUGUCCAUAUGGCUACUACGGAACAUACUGCCAGUACACACCAUGCACUCCUGAUAGAGAAUGUGUCAAUUACGGAUACUGUAUUAUAAGAGGGUCCAGUUGGGAAUGUUCUUGUCCGUCCGGUUACUACGGAACACACUGUCAGUAUGAUCCGUGUACACGCAGGUGUAAAAAUGGAGGUGUAUGUACAGUCGAUGGCUCCAGAGGGAAAUGUUGUACGAAGACACAAGUAUGGAG
Molecule: long non-coding RNA, 284 nt
Organism: Mytilus trossulus (common blue mussel)
Lineage: Eukaryota; Metazoa; Mollusca; Bivalvia; Mytilida; Mytilidae
Exons: 3
Source: RefSeq, a predicted model, not a curated record